CAAUAAGUUACAAAGGGCUUAAGGUGGAUGCCUUGGGACUAGAUGGCGAUGAAGGACGUGCAAAUCUGCGAUAAGUUAUGGGUAGGUGAUAAGAACCGAUGAUCCAUAAAUCUCCGAAUGGGGCAACCCACUUAGUAGAAGUACUAAGUAUCAUUAACUGAAUACAUAGGUUAAUGAAGAUAUACCCACUGAAGUGAAUCAUCUCAGUAAGUGGAGGAAAAGAAAUCAACGAGAUUCCCUAAGUAGUGCGAGCGAAAGGGGAGAAGGGCACAAGAUUCGAUCUUGUAUAAUAUUUUAUAAAUAUAGCAGAAACUAUUGGGAAGUAGUGCAAUAUAGUGUGAUAGCCACGUAUGCGAAAUGUUUAUAAUCUGAAGCGAGUAAGACGGGACACGUGAAAUCCUGUUUGAAGACGGGGCGACCAUGCUCCAACCCUAAAUACAAACUAGUCACCGAUAGCGAAUAGUACAGUGAUGGAACGGUGAAAAGAACCCAGAGAUGGGAGUGAAAUAGAAACUGAAACCAUAAGCCUACAACGAGUUAAAGCACAUUAAUGUGUGAUAGCGUGCGUUUUGAAGUAUGAGUCGGAGAGUUGUGUGGUGCAUGCAAGCUUAAGUCGUAGAGAUGGAGGCGUAGGGAAACCGAAUGUUAAUAGCGUGUUAAGUAUGUAUCAACAGACCCGAAACGGGGUGAUCUAGUCAUGGGCAGGUUGAAAGCUGAGUAAAAUCAGCUGGAGGACCGAACCCACUUUCGUUGAAAUGCCAGGGGAUGACCUGUGACUAGGGGAGAAAUUCCAAUCGAACUCCGUGAUGGCCGGUUCUCAUCGAUAUAGCUUUAAGGCUAGCGUCUUGUGUUUAUAUAUGAGGGUAGAGCUCUGAUUGACUGAUGGCGCCACCUCGGCGUACUGAAUUCUAUUAAACUACGAAUACCAUAUAACAUAGCAAGGCAGUCAGACAGUGGGGGAUAAGCUCCAUUGUCGUGAGGAAAAGAGUCCAGAUCAUUAACUAAGGUCCCUAAUUUAUGCUAAGUGGAAAAGGAAGUUAGAUUUCUUAAACACCAAGGAUGUUGGCUUAGAAGCAGCCAUCGUUUAAAGAGUGCGUAACAGCUCACUUGUCGAGAAAUUUUGCGCCGAAAAUUCAACGGGGCUCAAGCAUAAAACCGAAGUUAUGGGUUCAGUAAUAUUACGAUAUUAUUGAGCGGUAGAUGAGCGUUGUAUACUGGGAUGAAGGCAGAGUGUGAACACUGCUGGACUGUAUACAAGUGAGAAUUCCGAUGUGAGUAACGAUUGAAUGUGAGAAUCAUUUAAGCCUAUUGAGUAAGGUUUCCAGGACUAGGGUCGUCCUUCCUGGGUUAGUCAGAA
This 1357-nucleotide ribosomal RNA is filed under the name Mycoplasmataceae bacterium. Its description in RNAcentral is "partial 23S ribosomal RNA". It matches the Rfam family "Bacterial large subunit ribosomal RNA", at positions 1 to 1389 of the family's 2925-position model. Lineage: Bacteria; Bacillati; Mycoplasmatota; Mollicutes; Mycoplasmatales; Mycoplasmataceae. The record is from RNAcentral.